This 932-nucleotide small RNA is filed under the name Pan troglodytes (chimpanzee). RNAcentral describes it as "processed transcript". The record is from RNAcentral. Lineage: Eukaryota; Metazoa; Chordata; Mammalia; Primates; Hominidae.
CUUGGCUUCUGGGAGUGUUUGUGAAUGAAGGGGCUUCCUGUAUGCUUGUCCAAGCAGAACAGACACUCCCAAGCCUCAUGUGAGGUUUUUGUCUAGGAUGAAGAUUCAGGGACUGAAGUGGGAGAAGGCACAGAUGAAUGGGCCCAAUCCAAAGCCACAGUUAGACCCCCUGACCAGCUGGAGUUGACCGAUGCGGAGUUAAAGGAGGAGUUCACUCGGAUUUUGACAGCCAACAACCCACAUGCACCCCAGAACAUUGUCAGGUACAGCUUCAAAAAGCAAUGGAGUCUGGGUUUCAUUCCUAAACUGAAGAGGAAGAUCCCAGUCAACUACUGGGGACAAGAUGAAGUGAAAACUUCAGAUUAACUGAGGAGUUGGAAGGCACAUAUAAGCCUAUUGGCUUUGUGAACCAACUGGCAGUUCACUACACCCAGGUUGGGAACCUGAUCCCCAAAGACUCAGAUGAAGGACGGAGGCAGCAUUACCGCGAUGAAUUAGUGGCAGGUUCUCAGGAGUCUGUCAAGGUGAUUUCAGAAACAGGAGACCUCGAAGAAGACGAAGAGCCCAAGGAGUUAGAAACUGAGCCUGGGAGUCAAACAGAUGUGCCUGCAGCUGGGGCAGGUGAAAAAGUGACUGAAGAAGAAUUGAUGACUCCUAAGCAGCCCAAGGAGAGAAAGCUCACUAACCAGUUCAACUUCAGUGAGAGGGCCUCACAGACCUACAACAACCCUGUCCGGGAUCGAGAAUGCCAGACGGAGCCUCCUCCCAGGACAAACUUUUCAGCCACAGCCAAUCAGUGGGAGAUCUAUGAUGCCUAUGUAGAGGAACUUGAGAAGCAGGAAAAGACCAAAGAGAAGGAGAAGGCAAAGACCCCAGUGGCUAAAAAAUCAGGGAAGAUGGCCAUAAGGAAGCUGACAUCUAUGGAGUCUCAG